Non-coding RNA from Mycena capillaripes, 91 nucleotides. NCBI's taxonomy places the organism in Eukaryota, Fungi, Basidiomycota, Agaricomycetes, Agaricales, Mycenaceae. The record is from the annotation of a GenBank genome assembly.
GCUCCCAUAGAUUACUGGUAAAUCGCCUUGAUAUCAUAUAGCAGAUGCUGACAUUGUCGAGAAGUCGGGGGUUCGAAUCCUCCUGGGGGCA